Molecule: ribosomal RNA, 492 nt
Filed under: uncultured bacterium
Lineage: Bacteria
Description: partial 16S ribosomal RNA
Rfam family: Bacterial small subunit ribosomal RNA
Source: RNAcentral
AGUGAACGCUGGCGGUAGGCCUAACACAUGCAAGUCGAGCGGCAGCACAGUAAGAGCUUGCUCUUACGGGUGGCGAGUGGCGGACGGGUGAGGAAUACAUCGGAAUCUACUUUUUCGUGGGGGAUAACGUAGGGAAACUUACGCUAAUACCGCAUACGACCUACGGGUGAAAGCAGGGGAUCUUCGGACCUUGCGCGAUUGAAUGAGCCGAUGUCGGAUUAGCUAGUUGGCGGGGUAAAGGCCCACCAAGGCGACGAUCCGUAGCUGGUCUGAGAGGAUGAUCAGCGACACUGGAACUGAGACACGGUCCAGACUCCUAAGGGAGGCAGCAGUGGGGAAUAUUGGACAAUGGGCGCAAGCCUGAUCCAGCCAUACCGCGUGGGUGAAGAAGGCCUUCGGGUUGUAAAGACCUUUUGUUGGGAAAGAAAAGCAGCAGGUUAAUACCCAGCUGUUCUGACGGUACCCAAAGAAUAAGCACCGGCUAACUUCGUG